UACGUAGGCAGCAAGCGUUGUUCGGAGUUACUGGGCGUAAAGGGUGCGUAGGCGGCUUUUUAAGUCUGGUGUGAAAUCUCCCGGCUCAACUGGGAGGGUGCGCCGGAUACUGAGGGGCUAGAGUGUGGGAGAGGAAAGUGGAAUUCCUGGUGUAGCGGUGAAAUGCGUAGAUAUCAGGAGGAACACCGGUGGUGUAAACGGCUUUCUGGACCAUAACUGACGCUGAGGCGCGAAAGCGUGGGGAGCAAACAGG
RNAcentral lists this ribosomal RNA (253 nucleotides) under uncultured bacterium. RNAcentral's name for it is "partial 16S ribosomal RNA". It matches the Rfam family "Bacterial small subunit ribosomal RNA", at positions 524 to 776 of the family's 1533-position model. The record is from RNAcentral.